RNAcentral lists this non-coding RNA (180 nucleotides) under Betaproteobacteria bacterium. RNAcentral describes it as "6S RNA". It matches the Rfam family "6S / SsrS RNA". From Rfam's summary of the family: E. coli 6S RNA was the first non coding RNA to be sequenced, but its function was unknown until recently. It consists of 184 nucleotides that fold into an extended hairpin structure with a large single-stranded internal bulge. Lineage: Bacteria; Pseudomonadati; Pseudomonadota; Betaproteobacteria. The record is from RNAcentral.
UUUCCCCUGCGGUGUUCGCCUUAGGACCUGGAAUCUCUGAACCAACAUCGUUGAAUCUGGUUGCCGACUCAAGCAGCACCGGUGUGCGCGUCCCACAUGGAAGCGCCUAAAGGGCUCGGAAGGCGACCACCUUGGACCAUCGGUUCAAGAUGAAGGCCUGACGGCACAAGCGGGGGUCCC